GCCUUCGUGGUGUAGUGGUCAGCACACUUGGCGCGUAACAGAGAGAUCCGUGGUUCGAUUCCCGGCGAGAGCA
RNAcentral lists this transfer RNA (73 nucleotides) under Stegodyphus mimosarum. It matches the Rfam family "tRNA". From Rfam's summary of the family: Transfer RNA (tRNA) molecules are approximately 80 nucleotides in length. Their secondary structure includes four short double-helical elements and three loops (D, anti-codon, and T loops). Lineage: Eukaryota; Metazoa; Arthropoda; Arachnida; Araneae; Eresidae. The record is from Rfam by way of RNAcentral.